Molecule: ribosomal RNA, 618 nt
Filed under: Cantabrogeus luquei
Lineage: Eukaryota; Metazoa; Arthropoda; Insecta; Coleoptera; Leiodidae
Description: partial 16S ribosomal RNA
Rfam family: Bacterial large subunit ribosomal RNA
Source: RNAcentral
GUCUUAUUGAUGAUAAUUUUAAGUCCGGUCUGCCCAGUGAUUUAUUAAAUGGCUGCAGUAUUUUAACUGUACAAAGGUAGCAUAAUAAUUAGUUUCUUAAUUAGGAACUGGAAUGAAAGAUUGAACGAGACAAUAACUGUCUUAAUAUAAAUUUAAGAAUUUUAUUUUUAAGUUAAAAAGCUUAAAUUUUUUUAAAAGACGAGAAGACCCUAUAGAAUUUUAUAUUAUUUUUAUAUUUAAAUUAUAGUAUAUAAAUUUUAAAUUUUUAUUAAGAUUAUUUAGUUGGGGUGAUUAAAAAAUUUACUUAACUUUUUUUAUUUAUGACAUUAAUUUAUGUGUGAUUGAUCCAAUAUUUUUGAUUAUAAGAUUAAAUUACCUUAGGGAUAACAGCGUAAUUUUUUUAGAGAGUUCUUAUCGAUAAAAGAGAUUGCGACCUCGAUGUUGGAUUAAAGUUAAUUUUUAAUGUAGAAGUUAGAAUAUUAGGUCUGUUCGACCUUUGAAACUUUACAUGAUCUGAGUUUAAAUCGGCGUGAGCCAGGUUGGAUUCUAUCUUUAAAGAAUUUUAGUAUUUUAGUACGAAAGGACCAAAUAUUAUUUAUAUUAAAUUUUAUAGAAUAU